GUUCAAACACUGGUUUCCGUACGAUCACCGAAGUUAAGCAACAUCAAGCCUGGUUAGUACCUAGACGGGUGACCGCUUAGGAAUACCACGAACUGCA
Acanthosepion pharaonis is the source of this 97-nucleotide non-coding RNA. NCBI's taxonomy places the organism in Eukaryota, Metazoa, Mollusca, Cephalopoda, Sepiida, Sepiidae. The record is from the annotation of a GenBank genome assembly.